This 461-nucleotide ribosomal RNA is filed under the name uncultured bacterium. RNAcentral describes it as "partial 16S ribosomal RNA". It matches the Rfam family "Bacterial small subunit ribosomal RNA", at positions 29 to 507 of the family's 1533-position model. The record is from RNAcentral.
GUGAACGCUGGCGGCGUGCCUCAUACAUGCAAGUCGCACGGAGAUUAAGUAGCUUGCUAUUUAAUCUUAGUGGCGCACGGGUGAGUAAUAUAUAGCUAACUUGCCCAUUACUAAGGGACAACAGUUGGAAACGACUGCUAAUACCUUAUACUCCGUAUCUAUAUAAGUAGAUACGGGAAAGUUUUUCGGUAAUGGAUAGGGCUAUAUCGUAUCAGCUAGUUGGUAAGGUAAUGGCUUACCAAGGCUAUGACGCGUAACUGGUCUGAGAGGAUGAUCAGUCACACUGGAACUGAGACACGGUCCAGACUCCUACGGGAGGCAGCAGUAGGGAAUAUUGCUCAAUGGGGGAAACCCUGAAGCAGCAACGCCGCGUGGAGGAUGACACUUUUCGGAGCGUAAACUCCUUUUCUUGGGAAAGAAUUAUGACGGUACCCAAGGAAUAAGCACCGGCUAACUCCGUG